UUUAAAGUAUGUGUGUGCUUA
This 21-nucleotide non-coding RNA is filed under the name Rattus norvegicus (Norway rat). Lineage: Eukaryota; Metazoa; Chordata; Mammalia; Rodentia; Muridae. The record is from RNAcentral.